RNAcentral lists this ribosomal RNA (120 nucleotides) under uncultured bacterium. Its description in RNAcentral is "partial 16S ribosomal RNA". It matches the Rfam family "Bacterial small subunit ribosomal RNA", at positions 796 to 914 of the family's 1533-position model. The record is from RNAcentral.
CACGCCGUAAACGAUGAGUGCUAAGUGUUGGAGGGUUUCCGCCCUUCAGUGCUGCAGCUAACGCAUUAAGCACUCCGCCUGGGGAGUACGGUCGCAAGACUGAAACUCAAAGGAAUUGAC